RNAcentral lists this microRNA precursor (114 nucleotides) under Drosophila virilis. RNAcentral describes it as "microRNA dvi-mir-932 precursor". Its record names the gene dvi-mir-932. The stretch from base 21 to 97 matches the Rfam family "mir-932 microRNA precursor family". The record is from miRBase by way of RNAcentral. Lineage: Eukaryota; Metazoa; Arthropoda; Insecta; Diptera; Drosophilidae.
UGUUGGAGAUGAUAUGGCAGCGAAACUCUCAAUUCCGUAGUGCAUUGCAGUUGAUUUUAGGAAUUACUGCAAGCGCUGCAGAAUUGGCAGCUCCGCUGACCGCAGACAACGUAU